RNAcentral lists this ribosomal RNA (239 nucleotides) under uncultured bacterium. Its description in RNAcentral is "partial 16S ribosomal RNA". It matches the Rfam family "Bacterial small subunit ribosomal RNA", at positions 1252 to 1500 of the family's 1533-position model. The record is from RNAcentral.
ACCACGCGAGUGGAUGCCAAUCCUAAAACCCCUCUCAGUUCGGACUGGAGUCUGCAACCCGACUCCACGAAGCUGGAUUCGCUAGUAAUCGCGCAUCAGCCACGGCGCGGUGAAUACGUUCCCGGGCCUUGUACACACCGCCCGUCAAGCCAUGGGAGCCGGGGGUACCUGAAGUGCGUAACCGCGAGGAUCGCCCUAGGGUAAAACUGGUGACUGGGGCUAAGUCGUAACAAGGUAAC